RNAcentral lists this ribosomal RNA (426 nucleotides) under Shigella sonnei. RNAcentral describes it as "bacterial SSU rRNA". It matches the Rfam family "Bacterial small subunit ribosomal RNA", at positions 1 to 423 of the family's 1533-position model. The record is from RNAcentral. Lineage: Bacteria; Pseudomonadati; Pseudomonadota; Gammaproteobacteria; Enterobacterales; Enterobacteriaceae.
AAAUUGAAGAGUUUGAUCAUGGCUCAGAUUGAACGCUGGCGGCAGGCCUAACACAUGCAAGUCGAACGGUAACAGGAAGCAGCUUGCUGCUUCGCUGACGAGUGGCGGACGGGUGAGUAAUGUCUGGGAAACUGCCUGAUGGAGGGGGAUAACUACUGGAAACGGUAGCUAAUACCGCAUAACGUCGCAAGACCAAAGAGGGGGACCUUCGGGCCUCUUGCCAUCGGAUGUGCCCAGAUGGGAUUAGCUUGUUGGUGGGGUAACGGCUCACCAAGGCGACGAUCCCUAGCUGGUCUGAGAGGAUGACCAGCCACACUGGAACUGAGACACGGUCCAGACUCCUACGGGAGGCAGCAGUGGGGAAUAUUGCACAAUGGGCGCAAGCCUGAUGCAGCCAUGCCGCGUGUAUGAAGAAGGCCUUCGGGU